GGUGACCACAGGUGGAGCUGAUUGAUAGACUUCAGCUUCACUAUGACAGACGCAGUCAUAGGCUAGGAUGAGAGCGAUCUGAGGGUGGAGAUGGUGCAUAGCAUCUACAAGCUCGAGGUUUAGGUGAUGAGGACUUCGAGAAGCUUGGUUAGAGCUUCGGAUAUCUGGGGGACAAGGUAGAGUGAGAAACCAAGAAAGGGCUGAAGACUGUGGUGGAAAGUAGAUUUCAUAGCACUAGAUCGACUCAGUGCCAAACUGGAUCGAUCAAGUCUGAGAGAGACAAAAAAUAGACUCUUGAAAAAACUAACAUGAUAUGCAAGUUAGCCAGCUCAGUUCCAAACUAAGUCGACUAAGUGUCAGGUUAGUCGACUCAGUCUGAGACUAAGCCGA
Molecule: long non-coding RNA, 390 nt
Filed under: Elaeis guineensis (African oil palm)
Lineage: Eukaryota; Viridiplantae; Streptophyta; Magnoliopsida; Arecales; Arecaceae
Description: long non-coding RNA (EGUI_LNC066502)
Source: RNAcentral